GUGUGCCUAAUACAUGCAAGUCGAGCGCAUGGCCCAACUGAUAUGACGUGCUUGCACUGAAUUGACGUUGGAUUACCAGUGAGCGGCGGACGGGUGAGUAACACGUGGGCAACCUGCCCUGAGCGGGGGAUAACAUCUGGAAACAGGUGCUAAUACCGCAUAACAACGAAAACCACAUGGUUUUCGUUUCAAAGAUGGUUUCGGCUAUCACUUCAGGAUGGGCCCGCGGUGCAUUAGCUAGUUGGUAAGGUAACGGCUUACCAAGGCAAUGAUGCAUAGCCGAGUUGAGAGACUGAUCGGCCACAAUGGAACUGAGACACGGUCCAUACUCCUACGGGAGGCAGCAGUAGGGAAUCUUCCACAAUGGGCGCAAGCCUGAUGGAGCAACACCGCGUGAGUGAAGAAGGGUUUCGGCUCGUAAAGCUCUGUUGUUGGAGAAGAACGUGCGUGAGAGUAACUGUUCACGCAGUGACGGUAUCCAACCAGAAAGUCACGGCUAACUACGUGCCAGCAGCCGCGGUAAUACGUAGGUGGCAAGCGUUAUCCGGAUUCUAUUGGGCGUAAAGCGAGCGCAAGCGGUUGCUUAAGUCUGAUGUGAAAGCCUUCGGCUUAACCGAAGAAGGGCAUCGGAAACCGGGCGACUUGAGUGCAGAAGAGGACAGUGGAACUCCAUGUGUAGCGGUGGAAUGCGUAGAUAUAUGGAAGAACACCAGUGGCGAAGGCGGCUGUCUGGUCUGCAACUGACGCUGAGGCUCGAAAGCAUGGGUAGCGAACAGGAUUAGAUACCCUGGUAGUCCAUGCCGUAAACGAUGAGUGCUAGGUGUUGGAGGGUUUCCGCCCUUCAGUGCCGGAGCUAACGCAUUAAGCACUCCGCCUGGGGAGUACGACCGCAGGUUGAAACUCAAAGGAAUUGACGGGGGCCCGCACAAGCGGUGGAGCAUGUGGUUUAAUUCGAAGCUACGCGAAGAACCUCCAGGUCUUGACAUCUUGCGCUAACCUAAGAGAUUAGGCGUUCCUUUCGGGGAGCAAUGACAGGUGGUGCAUGGUCGUCGUCAGCUCGUGUCGU
This 1066-nucleotide ribosomal RNA is filed under the name Limosilactobacillus vaginalis. RNAcentral describes it as "bacterial SSU rRNA". It matches the Rfam family "Bacterial small subunit ribosomal RNA", at positions 42 to 1068 of the family's 1533-position model. The record is from RNAcentral. Lineage: Bacteria; Bacillati; Bacillota; Bacilli; Lactobacillales; Lactobacillaceae.